Molecule: ribosomal RNA, 1572 nt
Filed under: Meles leucurus (Asian badger)
Lineage: Eukaryota; Metazoa; Chordata; Mammalia; Carnivora; Mustelidae
Also listed under: 1 other name
Description: 16S ribosomal RNA
Rfam family: Bacterial large subunit ribosomal RNA
Source: RNAcentral
ACCAAAGCUAGCCCAACCAACUACCAACCCAAUUACUACAAUAAACCUUCAAUCAAAACAUUUAGUACUACGAUUAUAGUAUAGGAGAUAGAAAUUCUACUUGGAGCUAUAGAGGAAGUACCGUAAGGGAAUGAUGAAAGAAAUUUCAAAGUAAUAAACAGCAAAGAUUACCCCUUGUACCUUUUGCAUAAUGAAUUAGCUAGAAUAAUUUAGCAAAGAGACCUUAAGCUAACCUCCCCGAAACCAGACGAGCUACCUAUAAACAAUCCACAGGGAUAAACUCAUCUAUGUUGCAAAAUAGUGAGAAGAUUUGUAGGUAGAGGUGAAAAGCCUAACGAGCCUGGUGAUAGCUGGUUACCCAGAACAGAAUUUCAGUUCAACUUUAAAUUUGCCUAACAACUUUAAAAUUAUAAUGUAAGUUUAAAAUAUAUUCUAAAAAGGUACAGCUUUUUAGAACAAGGUUACAACCUUAGUUAGAGAGUAAAACAUAAUAUAACCAUAGUAGGCCUAAGAGCAGCCACCAAUUAAGAAAGCGUUCAAGCUCAACAAUAUCAUCCUCCCAAAUCCCAAAAAUCUUAAUCAACUCCUAAUACGUUACUGGGUUAAUCUAUUUAACAAUAGAAGCAAUAAUGCUAAUAUGAGUAACAAGAAAUAUUUCUCCUUGCAUAAGCCUAUAACAGUUAACGAAUGCCCACUGAUAGUUAACAACAUGAUAAGAAUAAACCACUAAUAAAACACUUAUCAAAUCAAUUGUUAGCCCAACACAGGUAUGCAUCAAGGAAAGAUCAAAAGAAGUAAAAGGAACUCGGCAAACACAAACCCCGCCUGUUUACCAAAAACAUCACCUCCAGCAUACCCAGUAUUGGAGGCACUGCCUGCCCAGUGACAUUAGUUAAACGGCCGCGGUAUCCUGACCGUGCAAAGGUAGCAUAAUCAUUUGUUCUUUAAAUAAGGACUUGUAUGAAUGGCCUCACGAGGGUUUAACUGUCUCUUACUUCCGAUCAGUGAAAUUGACCUUCCCGUGAAGAGGCGGGAAUAAGAUAAUAAGACGAGAAGACCCUAUGGAGCUUCAAUUAAUUAACCCAUAAUAACUCACUUAAUACCAAUAGGCUUAAUAUUACUUUAUUAAUGGGUUAACAAUUUAGGUUGGGGUGACCUCGGAGAACAAAAAAUCCUCCGAGUGAUUUAAGCUUAGACAAACCAGUCAAAGCACUUCAUCAUUUAUUGAUCCAAUAAUUUGAUCAACGGAACAAGUUACCCUAGGGAUAACAGCGCAAUCCUAUUCAAGAGUUCAUAUCAACAAUAGGGUUUACGACCUCGAUGUUGGAUCAGGACAUCCUAAUGGUGCAGCAGCUAUUAAAGGUUCGUUUGUUCAACGAUUAAAGUCCUACGUGAUCUGAGUUCAGACCGGAGUAAUCCAGGUCGGUUUCUAUCUAUUACAACAUAACAACCUCUCCCAGUACGAAAGGACAAGAGAAGUAAGGCCCAUUCUAUUAAAACGCCUUAGGACUAAUAGAUGAUAUAAUCUAAAUCUAGCCAGUCCACUUAUUUAAUGCCCUAGAAAUAGGGCUU